UAAAGAGUUCUAUAGAUUGAGAAGCUAUCUGCAGUGGAGCCGCCACCAAAAUGCAGAUUUUCGUGAAAACCCUUACGGGGAAGACCAUCACCCUCGAGGUUGAACCCUCGGAUACGAUAGAAAAUGUAAAGGCCAAGAUCCAGGGUAAGGAAGGAAUUCCUCCUGAUCAGCAGAGACUGAUCUUUGCUGGCAAGCAGCUGGAAGAUGGACGUACUUUGUCUGACUACAAUAUUCAAAAGGAGUCUACUCUUCAUCUUGUGUUGAGACUUCUGGUGGUGCUAAGAAAAGGAAGAAGAAGUCUUACACCACUCCCAAGAAGAAUAAGCACAAGAGAAAGAAGGUUAAGCUGGCUGUCCUGAAAUACUAUAAGGUGGAUGAGAAUGGCAAAAUUAGUCGCCUUCGUCGAGAGUGCCCUUCUGAUGAAUGUGGUGCUGGGGUGUUUAUGGCAAGCCACUUUGACAGACAUUAUUGUGGCAAAUGUUGUCUGACUUACUGCUUCAACAAACCAGAAGACAAGUAACUGUAUGAGUUAAUAAAAGACAUGAACUAAAAAAAAAAAAAAAAAA
Homo sapiens (human) is the source of this 566-nucleotide long non-coding RNA. Lineage: Eukaryota; Metazoa; Chordata; Mammalia; Primates; Hominidae. The record is from Ensembl.